This 497-nucleotide ribosomal RNA is filed under the name uncultured bacterium. RNAcentral's name for it is "partial 16S ribosomal RNA". It matches the Rfam family "Bacterial small subunit ribosomal RNA", at positions 28 to 507 of the family's 1533-position model. The record is from RNAcentral.
GAUGAACGCUGGCGGCGUGCCUAAUACAUGCAAGUCGAGCGAACGGACGAGAAGCUUGCUUCUCUGAUGUUAGCGGCGGACGGGUGAGUAACACGUGGAUAACCUACCUAUAAGACUGGGAUAACUUCGGGAAACCGGAGCUAAUACCGGAUAAUAUUUUGAACCGCAUGGUUCAAAAGUGAAAGACGGUCUUGCUGUCACUUAUAGAUGGAUCCGCGCUGCAUUAGCUAGUUGGUAAGGUAACGGCUUACCAAGGCAACGAUGCAUAGCCGACCUGAGAGGGUGAUCGGCGACACUGGAACUGAGACACGGUCCAUACUCCUACGGGAGGCAGCAGUAGGGAAUCUUCCGCAAUGGGCGAAAGCCUGACGGAGCAACGCCGCGUGAGUGAUGAAGGUCUUCGGAUCGUAAAACUCUGUUAUUAGGGAAGAACAUAUGUGUAAGUAACUGUGCACAUCUUGACGGUACCUAAUCAGAAAGCCACGGCUAACUACGUG